CAUUAACGAAUUGUAAUGGGGGCUGAUGCUGGCCAUCAUAUUUUUGAUGGUAGGUGCUCGCCUCCAACAAUCUCUCGUCCAAACACCUGUGCACCUUCUUUUGAGGGUUCCGAGCUGGCUACCAUUUUCAGGUGGUCUCUUGGAUUCCCUUCCUAUCUUUACAUACACACUCAACAAUGUUGAACGUGCCAGUGCCGAUUAGGCCAUAAUAUUAAUACAACUUUUAACAACGGAUCUCUUGGCUCUCGCAUCGAUGAAGAACGCAGCGAAAUGCGAUAAGUAAUGUGAAUUGCAGAAUUCAGUGAAUCAUCGAAUCUUUGAACGCACCUUGCGCUCCCUGGUAUUCCGGGGAGCACGCCUGUUCGAGUGUUGUGAACUUCUCAAGCUAGCACGCUUUUUUUGCUUUCUGGCUUGGUAUUGGGCUCUGCCGUGUCCUUGACUUGGAACGGCUGGCCUUAAAGGCAUUAGCUGGCCUUCAUGCGAUAUUGGUUCUACUCAGCGUGAUAAUUAUGUGAUCGCUGAGGACAUCUUUUCGGGGAUGGCCAAUUCGUGUUUGGGUUGCUUCCAAUCUGGCUUACAGAUUUCUGAAUCUGUUCCACUUUCAAUUUUGACCUCGAAUCAGGUGGGACUACCCGCUGAACUUAAGCAUAUCAAUAAGCGGAGGAAAAGAAACUAACAAGGAUUCCCCUAGUAACGGCGAGUGAAGCGGGAAAAGCUCAAAUUUAAAAUCUGGCAGUCUUAGAUUGUCCGAAUUGUAAUCUAGAGAAGCGUCUUCCGCGCUGGACUGUGUACAAGUUUCCUGGAUACGGAACAUCGUA
RNAcentral lists this ribosomal RNA (818 nucleotides) under uncultured fungus. RNAcentral's name for it is "eukaryotic LSU rRNA". The stretch from base 219 to 372 matches the Rfam family "5.8S ribosomal RNA". Lineage: Eukaryota; Fungi. The record is from RNAcentral.